RNAcentral lists this unclassified non-coding RNA (328 nucleotides) under Bombus terrestris (buff-tailed bumblebee). Its description in RNAcentral is "misc RNA ENSBTSG00005034856.1". The record is from RNAcentral. Lineage: Eukaryota; Metazoa; Arthropoda; Insecta; Hymenoptera; Apidae.
UCGAUUUAGUGAUGCCGUUUUUUCUUGAAACCUAUAAGAAAAUACAAAUUGUAUUGUAAAUAAAAUACUUCAGUACGACAUAAGCAUAUUUACUAAAUUUAAAUUUUUAUAUUAAUUUUAAAUUUAAAUAACUAAAUUGAAAUAUUUACUCUUUUUAGCUUUGCUUUUUUUCUGAGCUUUUCUCUUUUUAGCAGAUACAGAAGAUGAUUCCCCGAAAGUUGUAAUUUCUUCUCCAAGUGUACCAAGAGUUGUUAUUUGGCGACGUCUGUGUUUUUCUUGUUUAGUAACAGCACCUGAUACUGCACGCCUACGAGCUCUUUCUCCUGAU